Molecule: ribosomal RNA, 253 nt
Filed under: uncultured bacterium
Lineage: Bacteria
Description: partial 16S ribosomal RNA
Rfam family: Bacterial small subunit ribosomal RNA
Source: RNAcentral
UACGGAGGGUGCGAGCGUUAAUCGGAAUUACUGGGCGUAAAGGGUGCGUAGGUGGUGGGAUAAGUUAUCUGUGAAAUUCCUGGGCUCAACCUGGGGUGGUCAGAUAAGACUGUUUUACUCGAGUAUGGGAGAGGGUAGUGGAAUUUCCGGUGUAGCGGUGAAAUGCGUAGAGAUCGGAAGGAACACCAGUGGCGAAGGCGGCUACCUGGCCUAAUACUGACACUGAAGCACGAAAGCGUGGGGAGCAAACAGG